GUGGGGAAUAUUGGACAAUGGGCGAAAGCCUGAUCCAGCCAUGCCGCGUGUGUGAAGAAGGUCUUCGGAUUGUAAAGCACUUUAAGUUGGGAGGAAGGGCAGUAAGUUAAUACCUUGCUGUUUUGACGUUACCGACAGAAUAAGCACCGGCUAACUUCGUGCCAGCAGCCGCGGUAAUACGAAGGGUGCAAGCGUUAAUCGGAAUUACUGGGCGUAAAGCGCGCGUAGGUGGUUCAGCAAGUUGGAGGUGAAAUCCCCGGGCUCAACCUGGGAACUGCCUCCAAAACUACUGAGCUAGAGUACGGUAGAGGGUAGUGGAAUUUCCUGUGUGGCGGUGAAAUGCGUAGAUAUAGGAAGGAACACCAGUGGCGAAGGCGACUACCUGGACUGAUACUGACACUGAGGUGCGAAAGCGUGGGGAGCAAACAGGAUUAGAUACCCUUGUAGUCC
RNAcentral lists this ribosomal RNA (450 nucleotides) under uncultured bacterium. RNAcentral's name for it is "partial 16S ribosomal RNA". It matches the Rfam family "Bacterial small subunit ribosomal RNA", at positions 354 to 796 of the family's 1533-position model. The record is from RNAcentral.